This 406-nucleotide ribosomal RNA is filed under the name uncultured prokaryote. RNAcentral's name for it is "partial 16S ribosomal RNA". The record is from RNAcentral.
CCCUACGGGGUGCAGCAGGCAACAUCACCGGAGGGCCUCGCCAUGAAGGUCCUGUCCGUUCUCGACCUCAACACCAUCGCAAAGCAGCUGAUCGCGGAAUGCGGGGAGCUGAACGACGUCUGGGUAGUUGGAGAGGUAUCCAACCUUACCAAGCACAGCUCGGGCCAUUACUACUUCACGCUCAAGGAUUCGGCCAGCGAGGUCCGCUGCACGUUCUUCCAGACCGCCCGGGUGAGGUCCGAGGUGGAGCUGGAGGAGAACAUGAGGAUCAUUGCCUUCGGCUCCAUGGAUGUGUACCUGAAGAAAGGGAGCUACAGCUUCAACGUCAAGAAGGUUCAAGCGCAGGGCUUGGGCGAGCUGUACCUCGCAUACGAGGCGCUGCGCAGGAAGCUGGAGGCGGGGGAGC